CUCCAGAGGCUCCAGAGGCCACAGACCAAGAAUAGGAAAGUGCAAGUUUUGCCAUCUCAGGGUCUGUUGUACGUGAUCCAGUUGUCUGACCAGAGAGAGGCCCAGGCCCACUGCUACAUGAUAAGGUUCUCCUAAUUUGCUUUCUACCUGCAUCUUCUGCAGAGAUGAAGAUGGCCCAGUGUGUGGAUCCAGGAUACACGGUGUCUCCUUGAUUACCUUCUUUUGUACUAUGCUCCUCUAAGUUGGAGACCUCAUAGCAGUCCUUGCCUGCAACACUACUGCAUUUGUCAGGUCCUCAGAACUCUUUCUGGUUCUACCUUUGUCCCCUCUCCUUCAGAGCCAUUCCCCAACUAUACAAGUGUCUGCACAAGUUUGUAUUCCCACCAACAGUGUAAGAGGAUUCCC
Long non-coding RNA from Canis lupus familiaris (dog), 405 nucleotides. RefSeq lists it as uncharacterized. Lineage: Eukaryota; Metazoa; Chordata; Mammalia; Carnivora; Canidae. The record is from RefSeq and is a predicted model, not a curated record. The transcript has 3 exons.